AACGAACGCUGGCGGCAUGCCUAACACAUGCAAGUCGAACGAGACCUUCGGGUCUAGUGGCGCACGGGUGCGUAACGCGUGGGAACCUGCCCUUAGGUUCGGAAUAACUCCCCGAAAGGGGUGCUAAUACCGGAUAAUGUCUUCGGACCAAAGAUUUAUCGCCUUUGGAUGGGCCCGCGUUGGAUUAGCUAGUUGGUAGGGUAAAAGCCUACCAAGGCGACGAUCCAUAGCUGGUCUGAGAGGAGGAUCAGCCACACUGGGACUGAGACACGGCCCAGACUCCUACGGGAGGCAGAAGUGGGGAAUAUUGGACAAUGGGCGAAAGCCUGAUACAGCAAUGCCGCGUGAGUGAUGAAGGCCUUAGGGUUGUAAAGCUCUUUUACCCGGGAUGAUAAUGACAGUACCGGGAGAAUAAGCUCCGGCUAACUCCGUG
RNAcentral lists this ribosomal RNA (433 nucleotides) under uncultured bacterium. RNAcentral's name for it is "partial 16S ribosomal RNA". It matches the Rfam family "Bacterial small subunit ribosomal RNA", at positions 29 to 507 of the family's 1533-position model. The record is from RNAcentral.